UUCCGGUUGAUCCUGCCGGACCUGACUGCUAUUGGAGUAGGACUAAGUCACGCUAGUCAAAGGUGUGGAAUGGAACACCUGGCGCACGGCUCAGUAACACGUAGUGAAUCUACCCUUAGGACGAGAACAACCACGGGAAACUGUGGCUAAUUCUCGAUAGGAAAUUUGGCCUGGAACGGUAUCUUUCCCAAAACCGGCUCGCCGUGAGACACGGGCCUAAGGAUGGCGCUGCGGCCGAUUAUGCUAGACGGCGGUGUAAAGGACCACCGUGGCGACGAUCGGUAUGGGCGAUGGAAGUCGGAGCCCAGAGUCGGCUACUGAGACAAGGAGCCGAGCCUUACGAGGCUUAGCGGUCGCGAAAACUCGCCAAUGCACGAAAGUGUGAGUGGGCUACUCCAAGUGUCAUUCUUACGGAUGACUGUCGCUCAGUCUUACAAGCUGAGAAAGGAAGGAGAGAGCAAGGCUGGUGCCAGCCGCCGCGGUAAAACCAGCUCUUCGAGUGGUCAGGACGAAUAUUGGGUCUAAAGCGUUCGUAGCGGGACAAGUAGGUUCCUGGUUAAAUCCGACGUCACAAGCGUUGGGCUGCUGGGAAUACCGCUAGUCUUGAGAGCGGGAUAGGACAGGGGUAGUCUAUGGGCAGGGGUGAAAUCCAGUGAUCCAUAGGCGACCACCGAUGGCGAAGGCACCUGUCUGGAACGUAUCUAACCGUGAUGGACGAAAGCCAGGGGAGCGACCCGGAUUAGAUACCCGGUUAGUCCUGGCCGUAAACGAUGCCGACUAGGUGUUGCAGCGGCCAAGAGCCACUGCAGUGCCACAGCGAAGGCGUUAAGUCGGCCACCUGGGGAGUACGAUCGCAAGAUUGAAACUUAAAGGAAUUGACGGGGGCGCACCACCAGGAGUGAAGCCUGCGGUUUAAUUGGAUUCAACGCCGGAA
This 934-nucleotide ribosomal RNA is filed under the name uncultured archaeon. RNAcentral's name for it is "bacterial SSU rRNA". It matches the Rfam family "Archaeal small subunit ribosomal RNA", at positions 1 to 923 of the family's 1478-position model. The record is from RNAcentral.